UUGUCUCUCCAGGAUUUCUGAACACUGGACUUGAUGAUGUUUGUUAUCUAUGUGAUGCUUCUCUCUGGUAAUCACUGAAUGAAAAAAAUGAGGACAUAAUUGUUCCCAGAGAUGGGAUUUCACCAGCCUGGAGGCGGCCUACUCACUGGGACAUUUUAGUGCUUUCCAGUACUCUUCCAACGUUUACCUGAGCCUGGCGGGAGACUGGUAGGCCGUUUACGCAGUCACCAUCACCUUGAUAACGCAAUCCUGCGGCUCUGGUCUACAAAACGCGAAGCUUCCGGCUCUUGAAAAAGCCGCCAUCCCUCUCCCCAAGCGUGGAAUUAGGGCGGAAGCGCGAAACCGCACAUCCAGUCCGGGCACUGCGUUUGCUCUCUGGAUAUCCAGUCUGCUGUGUUCCUGAACCCUAUAGAGGCUGAGAGACUGAAACUCAUGAAGGGAGGCGCUGGGCCUACUACCGGCCAUGGCAGUCUAAGGCUCUCAGAGCCAAGCACACCUAACCUUGUACUUGGCUGUUUCACUUCCCAAUCGCCAUAAGGCAUUUUCUGUCUCCUUCAGACUCAAAACUCCUACA
Psammomys obesus (fat sand rat) is the source of this 574-nucleotide long non-coding RNA. RefSeq lists it as uncharacterized. The record is from RefSeq and is a predicted model, not a curated record. Lineage: Eukaryota; Metazoa; Chordata; Mammalia; Rodentia; Muridae. The transcript is spliced from 3 exons.